Molecule: long non-coding RNA, 288 nt
Filed under: Rosa chinensis
Lineage: Eukaryota; Viridiplantae; Streptophyta; Magnoliopsida; Rosales; Rosaceae
Description: sRNA RchiOBHm_Chr6g0295011
Source: RNAcentral
UAUUUUGGUCAACGGGGAAGAGGAUCAAGAUUUCAAGAUAUCAAAGAGGAUGAGUCUGAGGAUGAUGACAUUGAUGAUUACUACUGAUUUCAAGUAGCAGAAAAGGAAGGAAGAGGAGACUUAGAUAAAAGAGACUUGGUUUUGAUGCAUGGAAUGAACAAAUGCUCUAUAAUGUUUUCAUGUAUGGAUAUUUGGGAGAUAUUCCCUGUUUGACAGAUUUUAUUGGCCAUGAAUUUAUUGAAUUCAUUUUAUAUACGGUGGGAUUUGAGUUAAUUUGAUGUGUUCAUU